GGAUGCAUUAUUGUUCUUCACGAGGAUGCCUAGUAAGCGCGAGUCAUCAUCUCGCGUUGAUUACGUCCCUGCCCUUUGUACACACCGCCCGUCGCUCCUACCGAUUGAACGUGCUGGUGAAGCGUUAGGACUGGAACUUCGGGCCGGUUUCCCUGCCCAUCGUUUCGGGAAUUUCGUUGAACCCUCCCGUUUAGAGGAAGGAGAAGUCGUAACAAGGUCUCCGUAGGUGAACCUGCGGAGGGAUCAUUG
RNAcentral lists this ribosomal RNA (249 nucleotides) under Ulva prolifera. Its description in RNAcentral is "partial 18S ribosomal RNA". It matches the Rfam family "Eukaryotic small subunit ribosomal RNA", at positions 1582 to 1831 of the family's 1831-position model. Lineage: Eukaryota; Viridiplantae; Chlorophyta; Ulvophyceae; Ulvales; Ulvaceae. The record is from RNAcentral.